AAAAUGGCAAGCCCUGAUUCUGGUUUUUCUUAAUCUGCUAUAAUUUUGUGGCCAUCUUUAUCACCUUUCAGCACACAAUACAAUCUUCAUAUGAUAUUUCUUGUGUUUUGUCUAUCUCUACCUAUUAGUAUAUAAACUUUUUUUUUUUUUUUUUUGAGAGACAGAGUCUCACUCUGAUGUCCAGGCUGGAGUGUGGUGGCACGAUCUCUGCUCACUGCAACCUCUGCCUCCUGGGUUCAAGCAAUUCUCUGCCUCAGCCUCCCAAGCAGCUAGGAUUACACGCAUGCACCACCACGCCUGGCUAAUUUUUGUAUUUUUAGUAGAGACGGGAUUUCACCAUGUUGGCCAGGCUGGUCUUGAACUCCUGACCUCGUGAUCGACCUGCCUCAGCCUCCCAAAGUGCUGGAAUUACAGGCAUGAGCCACCAUGCCUGGCCUCAUAUAAAUUCUUAAAAGGGGAGUGAUCUUGUCUGUUCUAUUUUUCGAGCAUUCAGAACAGUACUUGGUAUACUGUAUAUACACAACAAAUACAUUAUUAUGUAACUCAGUAAGUUUGCAAUGUAUGAGUCAUAUAUUACUGAAGGACAGAGAAAAUAUCACAUCUCUCCUACCCACAGAUACUUAUAAGCAAUCAGGGAGUUAGACAACAGAUGCAAAUUAUUAUUUUUAAUCAUUAAGAGAAUAUGUAACAGCAAGAAGUUUAGCCAGCGCUCUUCUGGUUGCAAGUCAUAGAAAUUCACUCAAAUUAGUUUAAGGAAAGAAGAGAAAAGAUUUACUUGUUAACAUAACUGAAUAGCACAAAAAGAAAGCUAGCUCCAGGCGUGCUAGGUAUAGGGGCCUUACGAUUGUCCUCGGAACUUACUGAUUUCUCCCUUCAUCUCUCAAAUCUGCUUUCCUCUGAAAGAGCUUUGGUUGGCCGGGCAUGGUGGCUCACGCUUGUAAUCAUGCCCGCACUUUGGGAGGCCGAGGCAGGAGAAUGGCGUGAACCCGGGAGGCGGAGCUUGCAGUGAGCCGAGAUCGCGCCACUGCACUCCAGCCUGGGCGACAGAGCGAGACUCCGUCUCAAAAAAAAAAAAAAAAAGAACAUCAGCGUUCUUCCCUUUUAUUCUCUACACUGAAGCAUCCAUCCAUCUGGGGCAAAUUUUCGUUUCUCAUAGAUCUAGUAUUUCUCUUUUUGCCCCCCUCUAUUCCUCUGCUGUUACAAUCUUUCUUCUUGGGUUCAUCCAACACCUGAAAAACCUUCCUAAAAAACUGUUUAGUUGGCCAGGCACAGUGGCUCAGGCCUGUAAUCCCAGCACUUUGGGAGGCCAACGCGGGCGGAUCACCUGAGGUCAGGAGUUUGAGACCAGCCUGGCCAACAUGGCAAAACCCUGUCCCUACUGAAAUUACAAAAAUGGGCUGGGCGUGGUGGCGUGCGCCUGUAAAAAAAAAAUUAAGAGCACUUAAUAGUCAUAGUUUUCACUUUGCUUAUAUACAGUGUGUGUGUGUGUAUAUAUAUAUAUCUUUUAACUCCCAUUCUACUAAAUUUACCUAAUGUUCUACAUAGAAAAUUUCAUGUAUAUUGUUUAUCAUCUUUCAAGAGUGAAUUAAACACAUGAAUAGUUUCUCAUGAAAAGGAAUAUUGAUUGGUACAGAUGUAUAAGUAUAAUGGCUAGUUGCUCAGAUCAUCAACUAAACCUAAAACAUGUGU
Molecule: long non-coding RNA, 1689 nt
Organism: Papio anubis (olive baboon)
Lineage: Eukaryota; Metazoa; Chordata; Mammalia; Primates; Cercopithecidae
Source: Ensembl